RNAcentral lists this ribosomal RNA (166 nucleotides) under Sclerotiniaceae sp. RNAcentral describes it as "partial small subunit ribosomal RNA". It matches the Rfam family "Eukaryotic small subunit ribosomal RNA", at positions 1352 to 1541 of the family's 1831-position model. The record is from RNAcentral. Lineage: Eukaryota; Fungi; Ascomycota; Leotiomycetes; Helotiales; Sclerotiniaceae.
UAAAUAGCCCGGCUGGCUUUUGCAAGUCGCUGGCUUCUUAGAGGGACCCUCUGCUCAAGCAGAUGGAAGUUUGGGGCAAUAACAGGUCUGUGAUGCCCUUAGAUGUCCUGGGCUGCACGCGCGCUACACUGACAGAGCCAACGAGUUUAGUCCUUGACCGGAAGGU